GUAGGUGGCAAGCGUUGUCCGGAAUUAUUGGGCGUAAAGCGCGCGCAGGCGGUUCUUUAAGUCUGAUGUGAAAGCCCACGGCUCAACCGUGGAGGGUCAUUGGAAACUGGAGAACUUGAGUACAGAAGAGGAAAGCGGAAUUCCACGUGUAGCGGUGAAAUGCGUAGAGAUGUGGAGGAACACCAGUGGCGAAGGCGGCUUUCUGGUCUGUAACUGACACUGAGGCGCGAAAGCGUGGGGAGCAAACAGGGAUUAGAUACCCUGGUAGUCCACGCCGUAAACGAUGAGUGCUAAGUGUUAGGGGGUUUCCCGCCCCUUAGUGCUGCAGCUAACGCAUUAAGCACUCCGCCUGGGGAGUACGGCCGCAAGGCUG
This 373-nucleotide ribosomal RNA is filed under the name uncultured organism. RNAcentral's name for it is "partial 16S ribosomal RNA". It matches the Rfam family "Bacterial small subunit ribosomal RNA", at positions 527 to 896 of the family's 1533-position model. The record is from RNAcentral.